CGUGGAGAACCUGCCGUAUACUGGGGGAUAACACUUAGAAAUAGGUGCUAAUACCGCAUAAGCGCACAGCUUCGCAUGAAGCAGUGUGGAAAACAAAAAGCUAAAGCUUUUGGUGGUAUACGAUGGAUCCGCGUCUGAUUAGCUAGUUGGCGGGGUAAAGGCCCACCAAGGCGACGAUCAGUAGCCGGCCUGAGAGAGUGAACGGCCACAUUGGGACUGAGACACGGCCCAAACUCCUACGGGAGGCAGCAG
Molecule: ribosomal RNA, 252 nt
Filed under: uncultured bacterium
Lineage: Bacteria
Description: partial 16S ribosomal RNA
Rfam family: Bacterial small subunit ribosomal RNA
Source: RNAcentral